Molecule: long non-coding RNA, 1044 nt
Filed under: Selaginella moellendorffii
Lineage: Eukaryota; Viridiplantae; Streptophyta; Lycopodiopsida; Selaginellales; Selaginellaceae
Description: long non-coding RNA (SMOE_LNC001511)
Source: RNAcentral
AAGUGUUGGAGCCUCUAGACUCUAGAGGGGAAUGGGAAAUCUUCAGAAGCUGAGUGCAAUAUUGUUCAUAAUUGUCAGCAUUUUACUUCUGUUCAUGACAAUAAGCUCUUCGGCAGCCAUGCUGAACCAAGGUAAUGAUGAGAGCCCAGGUUUUGAUGUUGAAUCUGAUUGUUUGCCAAUUUCAGCUGGGGGUCGCAAACUGCUACAGGAUGAUUGUGAUGUAUAUCGUCCAACAUGUGUUUAUGAGGGUGGAGAGAAGUGUUGUGAAGGAUGGAGUUGCAUACUCCAAGGAGGAGGAGCGUAUGGUCUUUGUGUCCCUCCUGAAUGAAGAUCCUAGAAAUCUGCGGGAAAUCUGCAGAUAUAAGAAGGCUCCAGUCUCCUACCUGUGAUGCCGGUUUGUGGAUUUGUAUGCUGUUUUAAUCUUCAAAAUACUCUAUUGGUCUGGAUUUGUGACAACACGGUCCAAACACACAUAAGCCACUGCUGUCAGCUCCGAGAUUAAGCUUAUGCCCAAUCCCUGCCUUUUCAAUCGCUUGCUCCGAACUAAAGACCAAAUCUACGAGGGCCCAAUGCUGCUGGUAACUGGUUUACCUCUACCGCACAUGAUCCAGACACUGAUUCGAGAGAUUGAUGUCUGCAUGAGCAAUUCCAUAAUUCUGGAUACGUGUGUGUGUACACAAUGUCAGCAAGACAAGAAAGUAUGGAGACCUAUAGACUUGCUAUAGCGCAAGAUAACAAUCACAAACCGAAAAUCGAGCGUUGCUUUGCGGAAAGCUUAUCUCCUCAAUUGGAUUGAUCAACAGCGACAGACCGGACGCCUUUUGGGGUUCAUUCCGUGCUUAAAGGCAGCAGCAUCUUCUGCUUAUGCUCCACUACCGCCAGGAAUCUUCCCCUCGCAUGAUCGCAUCAAUUUGCAAAACCAUAAAACACAUGCGUAUUCAAUGCAAAGAAAUGUCCGACUUUUCCAAGGUAGUCAUAGUUAUAGUUACAAUUGAGAGUCUAGUCAUAGUUAUAGUUACAAUUGAGAGGCUAGUCAUAGAGGCU